RNAcentral lists this ribosomal RNA (1463 nucleotides) under uncultured Klebsiella sp. RNAcentral's name for it is "bacterial SSU rRNA". It matches the Rfam family "Bacterial small subunit ribosomal RNA". The record is from RNAcentral. Lineage: Bacteria; Pseudomonadati; Pseudomonadota; Gammaproteobacteria; Enterobacterales; Enterobacteriaceae.
AUUGAACGCUGGCGGCAGGCCUAACACAUGCAAGUCGAGCGGUAGCACAGAGAGCUUGCUCUCGGGUGACGAGCGGCGGACGGGUGAGUAAUGUCUGGGAAACUGCCUGAUGGAGGGGGAUAACUACUGGAAACGGUAGCUAAUACCGCAUAACGUCGCAAGACCAAAGUGGGGGACCUUCGGGCCUCAUGCCAUCAGAUGUGCCCAGAUGGGAUUAGCUAGUAGGUGGGGUAACGGCUCACCUAGGCGACGAUCCCUAGCUGGUCUGAGAGGAUGACCAGCCACACUGGAACUGAGACACGGUCCAGACUCCUACGGGAGGCAGCAGUGGGGAAUAUUGCACAAUGGGCGCAAGCCUGAUGCAGCCAUGCCGCGUGUGUGAAGAAGGCCUUCGGGUUGUAAAGCACUUUCAGCGGGGAGGAAGGCGGUGAGGUUAAUAACCUCAUCGAUUGACGUUACCCGCAGAAGAAGCACCGGCUAACUCCGUGCCAGCAGCCGCGGUAAUACGGAGGGUGCAAGCGUUAAUCGGAAUUACUGGGCGUAAAGCGCACGCAGGCGGUCUGUCAAGUCGGAUGUGAAAUCCCCGGGCUCAACCUGGGAACUGCAUUCGAAACUGGCAGGCUAGAGUCUUGUAGAGGGGGGUAGAAUUCCAGGUGUAGCGGUGAAAUGCGUAGAGAUCUGGAGGAAUACCGGUGGCGAAGGCGGCCCCCUGGACAAAGACUGACGCUCAGGUGCGAAAGCGUGGGGAGCAAACAGGAUUAGAUACCCUGGUAGUCCACGCCGUAAACGAUGUCGAUUUGGAGGUUGUGCCCUUGAGGCGUGGCUUCCGGAGCUAACGCGUUAAAUCGACCGCCUGGGGAGUACGGCCGCAAGGUUAAAACUCAAAUGAAUUGACGGGGGCCCGCACAAGCGGUGGAGCAUGUGGUUUAAUUCGAUGCAACGCGAAGAACCUUACCUGGUCUUGACAUCCACAGAACUUUCCAGAGAUGGAUUGGUGCCUUCGGGAACUGUGAGACAGGUGCUGCAUGGCUGUCGUCAGCUCGUGUUGUGAAAUGUUGGGUUAAGUCCCGCAACGAGCGCAACCCUUAUCCUUUGUUGCCAGCGGUCCGGCUGGGAACUCAAAGGAGACUGCCAGUGAUAAACUGGAGGAAGGUGGGGAUGACGUCAAGUCAUCAUGGCCCUUACGACCAGGGCUACACACGUGCUACAAUGGCAUAUACAAAGAGAAGCGACCUCGCGAGAGCAAGCGGACCUCAUAAAGUAUGUCGUAGUCCGGAUUGGAGUCUGCAACUCGACUCCAUGAAGUCGGAAUCGCUAGUAAUCGUAGAUCAGAAUGCUACGGUGAAUACGUUCCCGGGCCUUGUACACACCGCCCGUCACACCAUGGGAGUGGGUUGCAAAAGAAGUAGGUAGCUUAACCUUCGGGAGGGCGCUUACCACUUUGUGAUUCAUGACUGGGGUGA